AGAGUUUGAUCCUGGCUCAGAGUGAACGCUGGCGGUAUGCUUAACACAUGCAAGUCGAACGAGAACGGCUCUUUCUUGGGAAAGAGUGUCAGCUAAGUGGCGAACGGGUGAGUAACACGUAGCUACCUGCCUUACAGACUGGGAUAACAGUUGGAAACGACUGCUAAUACCGGAUAUACCCUAAGGGGGAAAGAUGUAUCGCUGUAAGAUGGGGCUGCGGCGUAUCAGGUAGUUGGUGAGGUAAAGGCUCACCAAGCCGAUGACGCGUAACUGGUCUGAGAGGAUGGUCAGUCACACUGGAACUGAGACACGGUCCAGACUCCUACGGGAGGCAGCAGUGGGGAAUAUUGCACAAUGGGGGAAACCCUGAUGCAGCAAUACCGCGUGGAGGAAGAAGGAUUUCGGUCUGUAAACUCCUUUUAUAUCUGAAGAUAAUGACGGUAGGAUAUGAAUAAGCACCGGCUAACUCCGUGCCAGCAGCCGCGGUAAUACGGAGGGUGCAAGCGUUACUCGGAAUCACUGGGCGUAAAGAGCGCGUAGGCGGGUUAUUAAGUUGGAAGUGAAAGCCCACAGCUCAACUGUGGAACUGCUUCCAAAACUGGUAAUCUAGAAUGUGGGAGAGGUAAGUGGAAUUCCUGGUGUAGGGGUGAAAUCCGUAGAGAUCAGGAGGAAUACCGAAAGCGAAGGCGACUUACUGGAACAAUAUUGACGCUGAUGCGCGAAAGCGUGGGGAGCAAACAGGAUUAGAUACCCUGGU
RNAcentral lists this ribosomal RNA (757 nucleotides) under uncultured Campylobacterota bacterium. RNAcentral's name for it is "bacterial SSU rRNA". It matches the Rfam family "Bacterial small subunit ribosomal RNA", at positions 8 to 791 of the family's 1533-position model. Lineage: Bacteria; Pseudomonadati; Campylobacterota. The record is from RNAcentral.